AGAAUACAACUAGAAUAAAUUCAGAGUGUCAACUCUUCAUUUGUAUUUCAUGCUUCGAGUAGCUUACAUGAUGCACCAGUGUAUCAGUAUUGUGUACCUGGCAUUUGGAAAGCAAAAAAGAGGAUGGAGAUCAGUAAGAAGCAGCAGUAGUGUAAACACACAGCAACACAGUAGUGCAACAACACAACAAUAAACUCAGUCACAGAAUGGUAGCAGAAAUCCCAUUGCACUUUCAACGGAAAACCAAAACACCCAACUGAACUAGUGUUCAAAACCCAACAGAAUAGCGUAGUAGCAGUUUCCACAACCAAGCAAGAAACCAGGAACUUAAUGAAGUGACACUUGGAACCAACAAUAGACCCAGGCAACACCAAUUGAAACCCAACCAAUACCAGAAAAAAAAACACAAGGCAGAGGCAAAUAAAAUAGUAGCUUCUGAUUUUUAAGACUCGAAGAGAAAAACAAGCUGAAGCUCUUUGAUAUGAAGGUUAGACUUAAGCACUAUAACUCUCUCUAAAAUUUU
RNAcentral lists this long non-coding RNA (523 nucleotides) under Nicotiana benthamiana. RNAcentral's name for it is "long non-coding RNA (NBEN_LNC039557)". Lineage: Eukaryota; Viridiplantae; Streptophyta; Magnoliopsida; Solanales; Solanaceae. The record is from RNAcentral.